AUUGAACGCUGGCGGCAUGCCUUACACAUGCAAGUCGAGCGGCAGCACGGGAGCAAUCCUGGUGGCGAGUGGCGAACGGGUGAGUAAAGUAUCGGAACGUGCCCAGUCGUGGGGGAUAACGUAGCGAAGGUUACGCUAAUACCGCAUACGAUCUAUGGAUGAAAGCGGGGGAUCGCAAGACCUCGCGCGAUUGGAGCGGCCGAUAUCAGAUUAGGUAGUUGGUGGGGUAAAGGCUCACCAAGCCGACGAUCUGUAGCUGGUCUGAGAGGACGACCAGCCACACUGGGACUGAGCCACGGCCCAGACUCCUACGGGAGGCAGCAGUGGGGAAUUUUGGACAAUGGGCGAAAGCCUGAUCCAGCCAUGCUGCGUGCAGGAUGAAGGCCUUCGGGUUGUAAACUGCUUUUGUACGGAACGAAAAGGUUUGGCCUAAUAAGCUGAGCUCAUGACGGUACCGUAAGAAUAAGCACCGGCUAACUACGUGCCAGCAGCCGCAGUAA
Molecule: ribosomal RNA, 500 nt
Filed under: uncultured bacterium
Lineage: Bacteria
Description: partial 16S ribosomal RNA
Rfam family: Bacterial small subunit ribosomal RNA
Source: RNAcentral